Molecule: long non-coding RNA, 2232 nt
Organism: Xyrauchen texanus (razorback sucker)
Lineage: Eukaryota; Metazoa; Chordata; Actinopteri; Cypriniformes; Catostomidae
Exons: 3
Source: RefSeq, a predicted model, not a curated record
UAGCAAGCACUCAAAACAGAGCGGACUUGUGAAGAGAGAGAGAGACGUUACGUUUAGGUUGUUAAACUUUGUGAAUGUGUUUUAAGAAGACCAUCCUGCUGCAAAUCAUAUGUCUUAUAAGGACACACCAUUUGUCCAUGCCCAUGACGAGGCCAUGCCUCUUGUUGAGUGUGCUUUAACACCAAUUGGGCAAGUCUGACCCUGUGUCUCAUAAGCCAGGGCAAUGGACAUUGACAAUCCAGUGAGAAAGUCUUUCCUUGGAGACAGAUGUUCCUUUUGUGCGUCCUCCAUAUAAAGAGCUGAUCGGACAGUCCGAACUGGCGUGUACGCUCAACAUAUGCGUGCAGCGCCCGCACAGGGCAUAACAAAUGCAAUGAUUGUUCCUCAUCCGAAUUAAAUGGUGGAGGGAAGAGGGCCUGAAGGUGAACCACCUGCAUUCUGAUGGCCAUGUUUGACAGUGCCUUUUGAAAGACCAUGGUCAAACUCCAGACAUGAAUUGUCGAUUGAUAGUUCAUGCAGGUCACUGACCCGUUUUACUGAGGCCAGAGCCAGCAUUAGUGCAGAGUCCAAAGGCUUGAAGGAGGGCCCUGUGAGGACAAAUGUUUAGUCCCAAAUUGGGACUGUAGCCGGCCAAGAUGGGUUUAAUCGUCUUGCUCCUUUAGGAACUUUAUGAUUAAAUCAUCCUUGCCUAUAGUGUCGCCGGCAUCAUGUGCAUGAUACGCAGAUAUAGUUGCCACAUACACUUUAAGCUUUGACAGAGUGAGUGACUAUAUCAUAAUUUCAGUUGGUCAGAAGUUUACAUACUAAGUUAACUGUACCUUUAAGCAGCUUGGAAAAUUCCAGAAAAUUUGUCAAUUAUCUUCUGAUGGAGGUGUACUAAAUUGGAUGUGCACCUGUGGAUGUAUUUUAAGACCUACCUUCAAACAUAGUGCCUCUUUGCUUGACAUCAUGGGAAAAUCAAAAGAAAUCAGCCAAGACCUCAGAAAAAAACUGUGGACCUCCACAAGUCUGGUUCAUCCUUGGGAGCAAUUUCCAAAUGUCUGAAGGUACCACGCUCAUCUGUACAAACAAUAGUAAGAAAGUAUAAACACCAUGGGACCACACAGCCAUCAUACCACUCAGGAAGGAGACACAUUCUGAUCCCUAGAGAUGAAUGUAGUUUGGUGCGAAAAAUUCAAAUCAAUUCCAGAACAACAGCAAAGGACCUUGUGAAGAUGCUGGAGGAAACAGGUAGACAAGUAUCUAUAUUCACAGUAAAAACAAGUCCUAUAUUGACAUAACCUGAAAGGCUGCUCAGCAAGGAAGAAACCACUUCAAAACCACCAUAAAAAAGCCAGACUACAGUUUGCAAGUGCACAUGGGGAAGAAGAUCUUUUUGGAGAAAUGUCCUCUGGUCUAAUGAAAAAAAAAUGGAACUGUUUUGCCAUAAUGACCAUCAAUAUGUUUGGAGAAAAAAGUGUGAGGCUUGCAAGGUGAAGAACACCAUCUCAACUGUGAAGCAUGGGGGUGGCAUCAUGUUGUGGGGGUGCUUUGCUGCAGGAGGGACUGGUGCACUUCACAAAAGAGAUGACAUCAUAAGGAAGGAAAAUUAUGUGGAUAUACUGAAGCCAAAAUUCCAGCAACUUAUUGUGAGAUGCUUGUGGAAAGCUUCCCAAAAUAUUUGACCCAAGUUAAACAAUUUAAAGGCAAUGAUACCAAAUACUAACAAAGUCUAUGUAAACUUCUGACCCACUGGGAAUGUGAUGAAAGAAAAAAAUGCUGAAAUAAAUCAUUAUCUCUACUAUUAUUCUGACAUUUUACAUUCAUAUAAAUAAAGUAGUGAUCCUAACUAAGACAGGGAAUGUUUUCUAUUAUUAAAUGUCAGGAAUUGUGAAAAUCUGAGUUUAAAUGUAUUUGGCUAAGGUGUUUGUAAACUUCUGACUUCUGCCAGGAAGACAUUCAUGAAAGUAAAAGGGUGAAGAUGGAUUUCUCACCAACAUCACAGCUGGACCAAAGUCCUGCAGCUGACUCGCUCUGAUAUGUUAUGCUCUUCAAAGAUCUUGCCAGACCAUAUAAAGGCAGCUGUUCCUGUGAUUAAAGAUUUACUAGAUACAGAGUCUGGGGUGGAUGUAUUGUUUUCAAUGCUGUGUUUAUCUGAAGCACCUGAGAAGAGUUUACCUCAGUUCUGUAACUGUCUGCUUGAACUGUCCCGAGACCUCAAUCACAGCACUGCUUCUGCUGUUAUCACAAAAA